RNAcentral lists this transfer RNA (55 nucleotides) under Oribatula sp. XFX. RNAcentral describes it as "tRNA-Thr". The record is from RNAcentral. Lineage: Eukaryota; Metazoa; Arthropoda; Arachnida; Sarcoptiformes; Oribatulidae.
UUCCUAAAAGUUCAAAAGAAACAAUGAUUUUGUAAAUCAGAAGAAUAAAAGGAAA